AAUGAGUGGCGCGACGCACAUAGGUUCGCGUUGCCAGUCACCGACGGAGCUUGAUCGUCUACGUGCCUCUUUAAAUCAGCAAGUUUACAGUUGUGAUCGAGAACAUUUUUCCAAUCACAAUCGAAUAUCUUCCGAUGCUCCCUACACCGUCUCAAAAAUGAUAUUUUAACAUUUGUGUAAAACUUAAAUUCAACGUAAAUUCUGUUAGCAACGUUGAAUAUGUCUAAAAUCGCUCUGAAACUAUAUCGAUCCAAUGUUCGGGUGAAGUGAAUACGAACGUGUAGCUGUGUAGAAUUGUGUAGCGUCGUCGCGUCAUUCCGCGCCACUCGCCGAUUUGUUUUGACAUGUGUGUGUUCUGCCAUAUUGGAUUAACACGUCGUGUAUUAAGGGCUAAAUAAGCGCGAGUUUCGCGCUAAAAAGAGCAAUACUUUUUCGGGGCAACAAUGGAUCGUACAACGAGAAUCGCGUGGAUCAUUUAAGGUCGGGGGCGAUCAAUGCCCGAUGGCGUGGACUGGAACGCAACGUUGGAGAAAUCCUGCUCCAGAAGGUGACGAUGUACAACGAUCGAUCGAGCUGCUGGACAAAGUGCUCUCAGAGUACGACGAGCACGAAGCAGAGGGCGAAGGUGGUGGAGGCGUCGGCGUCGGCGUCGGCAGUGGCGGUGGCGGCGGCGGUGACGGUAGUGGAGGUGGGAGCGGCGGAGGUGUUGGGGAUUGUGGCAGCAGCACCGAACCAAGUAUUGGUCUCACACCUGACGACGAAAGUCCGUCCUUAGGACAUCAAUCCGAGGACGACGGUUACAUGAGUAUGAAUGGACGGAAAGCGAAGAUGGCUCUGGUAGCACUGCGUCCGGUUCCAGAUUGUCCAGAGCCACAGGAUCUAGCGGGUAUAUCUACCCAAGAAUUUCCACCACCGCCUGAAGAAGCCGAACGAAUCAUCUCUACUUUGUUGCCCAUGGUAUCGCCUGGAAAUUCUUCAAAACGAAACGGCCAUCCAUCAACUCGUCGAAGCGGACGACAACAGUGGAUGAUAGCUAUGGAGGAUAGUAUACGACACGGAAAUGGUACUGUUACUACUCAAACAACUCUCCCAAAAACUCGACACCAGAGACCAUACGGAUGGGAAAAUGGUAACGGUGAGGCAUUAAAAUUGGCUCAACCUCCAAGUCCACCAAGCAAAUUCGCCAGCUUACCAUACGAUGGUAAAGUGUCGUUCGGUUGGAUCCCGCCUCGAACCAAUCCAACGACCGUAGAGAAGCAUCGAGAGGUCAGACGUCGAUCUUCCGAGGAGGAGGGACUAGAGGGGAGUAACAAAAACCAUCGACAAAAUUUCGACAAGGAUCGAACGUCGCAUUUGCGAAAGCAACGUCAAAGCAAUGAGAUUAUGAAAUCGAGCAGUGUCGAGGAUCGGUUGUUGAUGAAUCACGAGCAAUCGGAACAAAACGGGCGUAGAAGGAACGAUUCCGACUCGAGCGAAGGAAGAUUCUCGAGAAACUCGGAAUCGGAGAGAUCCUCGAUCCCGCGCUCGAGUUCGGUCAGCGUGGAAAGAUUUUCCAUGAGAGCGACUUGCGGAUCGUCCGACUUUUCAAGGGCGAACUCGAUCUCGAACGAAAGAUUCCAUUCGUCAGAUUUCUCGAUAGCCGUGGCCAGUGCCAGCUCGAACGAUCGCGUUUCCGUGCCGACGUCCGAACCUUUUUCAAUUCGAAACCUCGACUUCGUUUCGUUUUCUUUACCGACGAGGACCGAUUCUAACGAAAGAUUCUCGGCCCCAACCUCGGACAGAUGUUCCGAAGAGCGUUAUUCCGACAUGUUCUCGACCAGAAACUCGGAUUUCUCGACCAGAAACUCGACGGAUUUUAGAACUCAAUCCGAGGAGGAACGGUUUUCAGACGAUUCGUUGGAAGAACUUUUACCUCCUCCUCCGCCGAUCAGCAAGAGGCAUUCCAUCGCUUGGGAAGUGCCUCUGGAGGAUGAUCCUUUGUACGCUCCAGGAAGUACCAAGGUGAUCGGUAGGAGACGACGUAAGAGCAGCGACGUGUCCAGUGUUGGAUCAGCAUCCAAACUUCGCGAUUUCGACGAUUGGCAAGAUCCACGAUUAUCGACUACCGACGACGAUUUAAUCUCCCCGUAUUCGGAUUCUUCGACAAACGAACUUGACCAGAUACGGCCGCAAGAUUUAACGAAAAAUGGCACCUAUGUGAUACGCCGUGGUCGAAAAAAGGAACGUAAAGGAUUGCCGAAAGCUCCUACCAAAACUAAAAGUUUAUCCUUCGAGAACAGCGAGGAAAAUCCAUUGUCAAACGUGAAACGAUACUCGAGCACCUUCGAUAACAUCAGAAGUCUUUUAAGGGAAAAUAAAAUGGAUGAACCGAUAGACGAUCCGCCAAUAGAAUUUGUUGCGCCAUCUUCUGUCCCCCCAGAUUUGGUCAGAGUGGUCUCACUUCCGGCGAUUAACGAUGAAACCGACAAUUGGCCACGGGAAUUGGAAGUCACGGUCGAAGAGGAAGAAAGUUCAGAUCUGUCGGACAAAGAUAAGAAGAAUCGAGAAAUGUAUGAAUUGAUCCAAUUGUCAUCCUCACUAUCAUCGAAUGACAAGGCUGAGAAAGGUCGAGUGGCCGAUCUGGCCGAAUCAUUGAAUCAAGAAAAUAACGAGUCAAAUAACACGUGUAACGGAGUUACUUUUUCGACUUCUAACAGUUAUUCCAAGGGAUUUAGCCUGGCUGUAACGCCACCUAGCGGGAACGCGUUCAUCGAGGAAUCGAGCAGAAAAUCGCCUAAUUCCAGCCUUGGUAAUGAAAAUCGGUUAGCGUCCAAGAUUCCGGUGAAUUUAUUGAUCGAAGAUCAAAUUGUAAAAAAAGCUUUAAAGGAAAAUCGACGACAACUAGAGAAAGUCAGCGACGCUAUAAAAGAGAUUGAGAGCGUGAAGAAUAGCGAAUCUUAUUCGGAGAAUAAACAACGAUGGAUCCGUAGCGGAGAUGCGAAGCAACCAUUGACGAGAAAAACUAGUCUCGAUAGCGAAUCCAACGAACGUGUCACAGGAGACGCUAGAGCGAAAAAACAGCUUGAUUCAGAUCUUGAUUCAGAUUCGGCGUCUAAGACCAGUCCAGAAACGACAGAUAUCGAGGGAAGGAGAAUAAACGGUACAGAUAUUUAUGCAUCGGGGAAAAGAUUGCGACAGAAUGGUGUCGUUGAUGAUCAUAAGAACGAUCAAAAGCAAAUUGAAAAUGUAAUCGACGCCAUUCUCGAGGAUUCCAAAAAUCCAGAUUUUCAGGUAAGUGUAGAAGUUCUCGAAUUUCCUCCGUUACCACCUUCCCCUGUAGAAGAAGCAGAUGAGGAAAGCUCGGACAUCGGUCAGAGUGCCAUGAUCGUUUCGAAACCAAAAAGUCAUAGCAAUCGAACCAUGGAGUACAGACCUAGAGUGCCACCUCAUCGUGGCCCUGUCACCAAUCACUCGUUCUCAGAUUCGAAAGAUCAACAGAUAUCUCUCAAUACUAGAUCCAUGGACGCUGGAUUCUCUCGGGGUAAAAGAACACCUACUGCCACUACUUCCAGACGAGAGCAAAUACCAGUAGAACGAAGAACUUUGCCUACGGAUUUACCAGGACCAUCGCGACGACGGCCUUUUACAAAGAAACAUUCACCAUCUGCAGAACCAUGCUCAUCCGUUGGGAACGGCAAUUGCAGUGGUAAUACCGUCACAAACGGAGUUAACAGCGGAGCUUGUAGUAGUGCUAGCGGUGGAACCAGUAGUAAUAUAGCAACCAGUACCAGUGGGAUGCAAACUUCCUGUUCGCUUCCGGAAACUCCUGUUUUUGCUAGAGGAAGCGAUAUUCCUAGAACUCCUCAGCAUGCCAGCAAUCCUACGCAAAUGCGUCGGCAACCUGGUUGGUAUGCCCCAACCUCGGCUACCACCGGGUAUCGCAGGAAUAAUCCGGGUCUGGAACAAGCGAUAAUCGGGACAGAAUUAUUGCGAUUAGCCGGUGGCCCGAAUCGAGGAUGGUAUCCAACAAGGAAGGCGAACCAACCACGACCAGCUUCGAUAGAGCAUCUCGAACGACUGAACAAUGCAUACGAUCCACGCUUGGCAGGUUCCGGAGACCAGAGGAAACCAUUGACUCUACCAACAAACAUCACACCGAACAAAUACUUCGGCCAAAGUAAGCACAGCUCCGCCUCCAGUACUCGCGAGGCGCUACGGAGGGUCACUAGCUUGCUCAUCAAGAAAGGAAGUGGAAGCAAAGAUGGAAAAGGUGGGAAGGAUAAUGCAUCACCGUGUGGUCCUUAUGCAGUUAUCAUUUGAUCAAAAGAGGGGGAGGCUAUCCGUCGUCAAUCGUCAGCCGGCUUUUUAACGUCCGUCGAUUCGAAGGAAAGGCCGGAAAGACCGUUGAUUAUUAUGCAGGCGACAGACAAUUGCCAACGCUUCCCCUAUUAACAUAUAGUGAGAGUAAAAACGUGGCUGAAAUAUACGAUGCUGUUUGCGGCUGAGUGCGGGGACGCGCCUAAAAAGAAAGGAUUCUUCAAAGGUUUCUGGAAGAGGUCGCGUCAUUAUUCAUUGGAGAACCAAUAGCCCAGGUUAGGCAGUAGGGUGAUGGGCCACCAGCAACGGCAGACAUCGCGGCAACAACACCAUUAUCGACAACACGUCGCUACAAGCGCUUUGACGCACAGUGCUUGUUGCUGCAUCGUCCAAUAGCCUCGGUCCCGUUUCGUGGUAGAACCAGCGACAAGGUUCGCGUUCUUUCGUCCAUUUCAUCGAGCUUUUAUUCCGCCCGAUCAGUGGUCUCCGAAUACAACAACAAGCUACGUCAAUCCGUGGGUAAAAUCUUUUUGCGUAUCUUUUUUGUUUCUCGAUUCUUUUCCUCCUCUCCUCCAUCUUUCUCCCAUAACCUCUUCUCUCUAUUUCGUUCUAUUUUUUUUUUCAUUCACUCUCAUUUCUCAUUACAUUUCGUUACACAUUCGCGAUACAAGUAUUAUGUGUAUAUUAUAUAUUGUUCAACUCCUUUCGCACAACAACUCGUUUCAGCAUUUUACCUUAAAGCAUGAAACAGAAUAGAGAGGCGAUAACGUAAAGUGCUGCGCGAAUCGUGUCGAUUUUAUCUCCAUCUGGCGUUCGAAUCAAGUAUCAUUUUUCGAUAUUGUUCGAUUAAAUCGCAUCAACUUAAACAAAUGUUACAUAUAUAUAUAUUUACUUUUAUUCGAAAGAUUUGAAUAUUUUCAAGUUUGUUCCUUUAUUUUUUUCAAUUACUUUUUCUUUCUUUCUCUCUCUCUCUCUCUCUCAACGCGAACCGAAAGUGUUGAAAACGGACACGACAUCCAUAGCGAUUUCUCGCAAUAACCGUAGGCUUCGCUUUCGAGAUGCGCACGCGCGCCCUCUUCCGUAUCUCGAGCGGUAAAAGUUGGAUAAUUUUCGGAACGAGAGGUAAUCGCAAGCUUGUAUGGCUUUACCAAUUGCUAGAUCGAUUUCGAUUGAACGGAACGAUUUUACUUUACAGAGGUAACCGCCGAUUAAGUCGUAAUAAUCUCAUCGGGGUGGAAGGUUAGAUCAAUCGUUUGGAACGGGCAGCUGUUUGAUUAGCAAUGCCAAAAAUACAGUAGUCGGCUUUCUAAUUGACGCAACGACGAUCGACGAUCAUCGUGGUUAGUCAUCCGGUCGACGAUGAAGUCGCGACCGAUCGCGAGCAUCGGUCACCUAGGCGUUUCUUUUCCAUCAUCUUCCUUGUGUAUCCAACGCGCGAGCACGUUUAUAGAAAGUGAGUAAUUAAAUUAAUUAAGUUAUCCAGUAUUCGAGUGUGUACACGAAUAUUCAAAUACACGUGUUAGACUGCGUUAGAUUAUGGCACAAGCAAUAAGGGGGGAAAGAGGAGAGCGUACGAAACGAACAAAAUCGUAACACGAAUACCAACGUAGAGGAAAAAAAUUAAAUUGUACUACAUAUUUAUUAUUAUUAUUAUUAUAAAGAAUUUGUAAUUAUACGAAUGAAAUAUUUCUUCUGAGCUUCGAACGUUACCAUUUAAAUAUUAUUUUUAUUACAUCAUUGCUCGUAUCAUUAUCACCAUUAUCAUUACCAUUAAUGCAAUAUCAACUUGUUAUUGCUCUUCUCAUUAUUUUUCUUUUUUUUUUUUGUUAAUAUCUAUAAUAUAUUUAUUGUUAUCUUACUAUAUUAUCACCUAAUGUCGUCAUUAUUGCUGUCUUUCUCAUCCUUAUUUAUUUACUAUUUUUACCAUCAUGAUUGAUAUACUAAUAUUUUUAUCAGAAUAAUCACUGUGACUAGCCUUUGUAUUUUUCUUCUUCUUUUUUUUUUAAUUUCGUUUAUACUAUUAUUAUUGCUGCUAUUUAUUAUUAUCAUUAUGAUAAAUUUGUUGUUAUGAUUGUUGUUACUGUCAUUGUUAAUUCUUUAAUGCUAGCACCAAAAUACUUAAUUGUAUGCAUGCAAAAAAAAACAUUGAAACACGCAGUGAGAUGCGGACAUUAUUUUUAUAAAAUGCUAUUAUAUCAUAUUAACGAUUGAAUUAUUUAUUUUUUUUUUUUCGCUCGCUUACUUAUCCACUUAUUAUUAUCUAUAAUUUUCUAUUCGAUAUGUUAUAUAUAUCGAAGAGAAAAAGAGGCAAGAUAUAUUAUAGCCGGUAAUGUAACAAAUGGUGACGAUAAUAACGAUAACACUUUUUAAAUUACAUUUAAUACAAGUUUGAAAAUCGAUAAUUAUAACACAUUCGUUCUCCUCUCUGAUAUUUAACCAAGUCGAAAGGAAAAAAUCGAAUGAAAGAUCGCCAAAGAUUGUCUCGUAGUAAAAACUCGCGCCGAUGAUAUAAAAAUCGUUUCUUUGUUCGAUCGAUUUCUGUGUACAAAUAACCGAACCAAUAUCUUCUUCCUUUCCCUUUUCCUAUACAUUUCCUUUUCCUUUUCUUUUAAGUGCCAAUUAAUGACGCAUAAAUUCGUUCUCGUCGUCGUCGUCAUCGUCGUCGUUGUCGUCAUCGUUCUUAUUUCUCGAAACAAUAUUUUUCAAACGGAAAUUCAUUAAAUUCAUCCGCAAAAAAAUUCUAUUAGCAUUAUUUUACACAUAUUGUUUUCACACAAUAUAUAUAUAUAUAUAUAUAUAUAUAUAGGUAUUUAUUAUAACACAUUUACGAAAGCGAUGACGUGAAUGUGCUUUGAUAAAGGGCUCUAUUGUAAUAACUUAGAAGAGGAAAGAAGAAAUAAGAAAGAAGAAAAGGAAAGAAAAAAAAAGAAAAUGGCGGAAGCUAUUUCUAAUCGUAAUGUAGGUUAUGAUAUUUCUUUUCAUUUCCUACGCGAAUAUAUUUAUUUAUUUUAAAUAUAAUACGCGGUCUUUGCUACAAUUGUAUGUACAAUGAUCCUUGUAAAUAACGAAAUAUCAUAAAUUGUGGGUGGUGGAAAAAAGUGGAGAAAGGACGUGUAAGAAGAUAAAAAGAUAAAACUAUCCCGCGAUCUAUUCGGGAAAGACGAAUAGAUCGCAUGUUGGAAUUUGGACUGUGAGAAUGAUGGGCAUUCGAGAUACAUUUCGGCCGCGUGCUAUUGUUGCUGCUGCUGCUGCUGCUGCUAUUGUUGCUAUUACUAGCAUAACGUUGCUGUUAUUAGCAUAGUUCCAAAGUCGAGAGCACGCUGGCCGCUUUGUCGCAUAUUCGUUGAUGAGAUGUAUGCACGUCUACCUGAUAAGACUUUAACUUUAAUCUUAAUAAAGGUUAACGCUACUUAAACUUAAUGCCAUUUAAAUGGAAACGUUUUAUAAAAAAAAAAAAACAAUUUUUCGCCACAUCGGUAUGCUAAUAAUCAUUUUUGCAUGUAUAAGCGUACGUGCACGUGAUGAACCUACAUGUUCAAUUACUUUUUUGUCACUGCUGUUCUCUCUUAUUGUUAUAUUCAUAUUCAUAUGAUAUCACGAUUUUUUUUCCUCCUCUUCCUUUUUAUUCGCCCGCGUCCCUUUUUUCUCUUUCUCUUUCUUCUCUUUGUCAACGAUUUAAACAAAAAUAUAAACUAUAUUAUUGUUUUCUUUUUGGUAUCGAGAUAUAAUAAUGGAUAGAACCAGGUAUCGUGUAACCGUUAUCGAUAAUAAAUGGGGGAUUCUCUUUGAGAUAAAGAGAAACGGUAUGAAAAAAGCGAAAUAGAUAUGAUAUACUUGAUAAAUCUAAUUAAAUUCAAUGAAAAGUGAACGUUGAAGAAUAAACGAGGCACGAAUGGGAAAGGAUGGGAAUUUUUCUUUCUUCCGAGAAAAAAAAAAAGAAAACGAUUAAAAUUUUUAGAAAAGAAUCGAAACGAAAAUACGAACAAUUUAAUAGAUAGAAUUACGAGUCGAAUACGAAGGAAGAAAUAUAUAUACGAUACUCGCUUGUACACCGCGACAACACAAGAUUAUCGACUUUAUCUUAAUGGUACCAUCUACUUUUUUCAUGUGUUCUAACAUGAUUGUAUCUGACAAAUUCCAUAUACCGAUAUAUACGACGCACAUUUCAAUCAAGUUACCGAACAAGUUAUACGAUAUGAUUCGAUGUUAAUUAUCGCCAUCAUUAACAAUUCAAACAAUUAUUUAAACUAAUCUAAUGAUGUUAAGACCGGUUCGUUGGGCGCAUCAUCGUUUUUCUAGUCUUUGUUCCCUAAAUGAAAGCGAUCUGGGCGAGUAAUAUAAUAAAAUCGGAUAAAAACGGGUCAAAAAGUCGAAAAAAAAACAAACUCGGGUAAAUAUGCUGUAUAGUUAGAUUACGUAAGAAAAGGAAAAGGAUUUAAAGCGAGUUGAUAGAUAGGGGGGGGAAGGGAGGGGGAAAUUUUAGUACAAAUUCAAUAGCUUUAUCGCUUAAGAUGUGGAAAAGAGCAAGAAUAAAAGGUACUAAAAAAAAAAAAGAAAAAAAAAAAAAAAUGGCAAUAAAAAACGUAUAACGCGUGCAACAUACGAAUGCAGGGUUACAAAUACACGAUUAGGAAGUCGUUCGACGAAUUUAAAGCGCUCGACGCCUCGGUACUAAUAUCGGCGACAUUUCGUAUCCCGUGAAUUACAAAAAUCCAAGCCUUUCCUUCGAAUUAUAUACGUAUUAUAUCCGAGAUUCAUCCAUCGUUCGUUUUGUAUCUCAUAUAUAUCUAUGCGCAUUAUAUUUUUUUUCCACUCCGCAAAGGUUUACGCGUCACCGUCUCGAUCUCUAAUAUGCGAAAAGAGAUCUGGGUUAUCGUCUCUAUUAUUUACUCAAAACGAAAAGAUCGAAUAAAUUUCGAGAAUGAUAAAAAGUAGGCUAUAAAUAAGGCGUUGAUCGAUAUAGAAAAUAUAAAAUAUGAUUCGAUCGUGAUUUUCGAUCGCGAUAAGUAGAGGUAAUGUUUUUUAA
Apis mellifera (honey bee) is the source of this 9322-nucleotide RNA transcript. RefSeq lists it as uncharacterized. Lineage: Eukaryota; Metazoa; Arthropoda; Insecta; Hymenoptera; Apidae. The transcript has 14 exons. The record is from RefSeq and is a predicted model, not a curated record.